This 757-nucleotide long non-coding RNA is filed under the name Olea europaea subsp. europaea. The record is from RNAcentral. Lineage: Eukaryota; Viridiplantae; Streptophyta; Magnoliopsida; Lamiales; Oleaceae.
GGUAAAACCCGGAUGAACCACCGGUUUCCCAUGGAACCGUUGGCCCAAAUACAAAAGAAACCGCCCGGUCCAUAUAUAUUAAAUCCUGAGUCCCCCAAAUUCAGAAUUCUCCUUCAUAUCACGGCAUGAAAUCGGAGAGCCCUAAACAAUGCAGCCGGCAAUCGUCCUUCGCAACCAGCAAGUUCACUCCCAAAAAUCCAAAAGCUUCAAAUUUCAAGUUGUUAUUAGAUGGAAGAAGAAGAUGUAAGUUUAAAUUUUGUCAUUUUCUUUGUAAAUUUCAGUUUUCUGUCCUCAAAUUAUGUGCAAAUAUAUAUAUCUCCAGUUUGGUAUUUUUGGCAGAUUUCUACUUGAAUUUUGAUGCCCUACCUGUCUGUAUGUUGCAGUUGUAUACUGUACUGGUUCAAUGCCCUACCUGUACGUGACUGUAUUGGUGUUUCUUUUGAAGUAUUUGAUAGACUGUAAUUGCAAUUAGGGUCUGAUUUAACACAUGGAAAGUCAGCAGAUUGAAAGAAAUAAAUUCUAACAUGUUAGUUGUAAUCUGUUUACCAAAGCUAUUUACUUAUUUGUAAGCCGCCGUUGGUUCCUUUUUAUUUAGUCCGAUCAACAAUUUUAGUUAUUCAUGAACUUGUUUACUUUACAUAAGCAAUGUAGUAAUGAAACAUUAGAAGCUAAUUAUUUGUUUAAACCAUUUUGGACUUGAAUUUCACAUGUUCUUUAUUUACGUUAACUUUUAAUUGAUGCUUUUACUUUUGCAAGA